Molecule: small nuclear RNA, 107 nt
Organism: Sciurus carolinensis (gray squirrel)
Lineage: Eukaryota; Metazoa; Chordata; Mammalia; Rodentia; Sciuridae
Source: RefSeq, a predicted model, not a curated record
UGGCUCACUUCAGCAGCAUAUAUACUAAAAUGAGAAUGAUUCAGAGAAGAUUAGCGUGGACCCUGUGCAAGGGUGACACACAAAUUCAUGAAGCAUUUCAUAUUUAC